This 447-nucleotide ribosomal RNA is filed under the name uncultured bacterium. RNAcentral describes it as "bacterial SSU rRNA". It matches the Rfam family "Bacterial small subunit ribosomal RNA", at positions 330 to 793 of the family's 1533-position model. The record is from RNAcentral.
GCCAGACUCCUACGGGAGGCAGCAGUGGGGGAUAUUGCACAAUGGGGGAAACCCUGAUGCAGCGACGCCGCGUGAGUGAAGAAGUAUUUCGGUAUGUAAAGCUCUAUCAGCAGGGAAGAAAAAAGACGGUACCUGACUAAGAAGCCCCGGCUAACUACGUGCCAGCAGCCGCGGUAAUACGUAGGGGGCAAGCGUUAUCCGGAUUUACUGGGUGUAAAGGGAGCGUAGACGGCAAUACAAGUCGGAAGUGAAAUACCCGGGCUCAACCUGGGAACUGCUUUGGAAACUGUAUGGUUGGAGUGCUGGAGAGGUAAGCGGAAUUCCUAGUGUAGCGGUGAAAUGCGUAGAUAUUAGGAGGAACACCAGUGGCGAAGGCGGCUUACUGGACUGUAACUGACGUUGAGGCUCGAAAGCGUGGGGAGCAAACAGGAUUAGAUACCCGUGUAA